Molecule: unclassified non-coding RNA, 1653 nt
Filed under: Hevea brasiliensis (rubber tree)
Lineage: Eukaryota; Viridiplantae; Streptophyta; Magnoliopsida; Malpighiales; Euphorbiaceae
Source: RNAcentral
AUUUACCACCAGCUUUCUAUUUGCUUACACGCAGGCUCCUUUCUAUUUCCUGUUUUCUGUUUUCCCACUCAGGCCUCAGUCGCAGCUCUUCUAAAAUCCCAAUUCCGCGCUCACGAAACCCACUAAUCAUGAAAGUCAAUUAGUUAGAGAGCCAAAAAAUCAUGAGCGGAAACGAGUUUCGAUUCUUCUUGUCCUGUGACAUCAAUCUCCCGGUGACCUUCCGCGUCGAGAGAUUAGAAGGAUUGUUGCCUUCUACCAAAUCUCCAAAUUCAGUAAUUGAUCCCGCAACAGAGGAGAGAAGAUCCGAGCUCUACGUCGAGUGUGCAUUGUACAUUGAUGGCGCUCCAUUUGGCCUUCCCAUAAGAACAAGGCUGGAGUCUGCGGGACCAUCGUAUUACUGGAAUGAGCUGAUUACACUGAGUACUAAAUAUCGAGACUUAACUGCACACUCGCAGCUUGCUGUGACAGUCUGGGAUGUUUCACGGGGGAAAGAUGAGGGAUUAAUUGGUGCGGCUACUAUUCUUCUAUUCAACAGUAAGAUGCAACUCAAAACAGGCAAGCAAAAGCUUAGGCUUUGGCCAGGAAAAGAAGCUGAUGGAUCGUUUCCAACAACUACUCCUGGAAAGGUACCCAGGCAUGAACGUGGGGAGUUAGAGCGUCUAGAAAAGCUUGUGAAUAAAUACGAGAGGGGACAAAUUCAGUGCAUUGAUUGGCUUGACCGUCUAACAUUUAAAGCUAUGGAGAAAAUCAAGGAACGUGAGAGCUGUAGAAAUGGAAGUUCUCAUUUAUACUUGGUCAUUGAUUUCUGCAGUUUUGAACAUCGAGUUGUUUUUCAGGAGUCAGGAGCAAAUUUCUUGUUACCAUCUCCUAUAGCUUCAACAAAUGAACUUGUUAUUGUGUGGGACCCAGAACUGGGAAAGAUAAAUCCCUCUGAGCACAAGCAACUAAAGUUGGCUAGGAGUCUAACACGUGGUAUCAUUGACAGGGAUCUGAAGCCAAGCUCCAAUGAACGAAAGUCAAUACAAAGAAUUCUAAAAUAUCCUCCAACAAGGACUUUGAAUGGAGAUGAGAGGCAGCUUCUUUGGAAAUUCCGUUUCUCCUUGAUGUCUGAGAAGAGGGCUCUCACAAAGUUUUUACGAUGUGUUGAAUGGAGCGAUGUUCAGGAAGCAAAACAGGCAUUAGAAAUGAUGGGUAGAUGGGAAAUGAUUGAUGUGUGUGAUGCACUGGAGCUUCUGUCGCCUGUUUUUGAAAGCGAAGAGGUUCGUGCAUAUGCUGUUAGUGUUCUUGAAAGAGCUGAUGAUGAAGAGCUUCAGUGUUACUUGCUUCAACUUGUUCAAGCUCUUCGGUUUGAGCGCUCUGAUAAAUCUUGCCUUUGUCAAUUCCUUGUCCAACGCUCGUUGAACAACAUUGAGUUGGCAAGCUUUCUUCGUUGGUACGUUGCUGUGGAACUUUAUGAUCCUGCAUAUGCCAAACGUUUUUAUUGUACUUACGAGAUCCUGGAAGAGAAUAUGAUGAAGUUGGCAGGUGGUCCAAAUGGAGAGGAAGAUGGAUUCAAGUUGUGGCAGAGUUUGGUGCGUCAGACAGAAUUGACAGCUCAGUUAUGUUCUAUAAUGAGAGAUGUAAGAAAUGUGCGAGGCAACACUCAAAAAAAAA